CCCUUUGAUACUCUGGGCGGCACGCGCGCUACACUGGUUUAUAUAACGUGUAAUUUGGACGAUAGUCUGUAUAAAUCACUAAUAUAAAACCGUGAAUGGGAUAGUUUAUUGCAACUUACAAACUUUAACUAGGAAUCCCUUGUAGAAGUAGUGAAUUAUACUGCUUCGAAUACGUCCCUGUCGAUUGUACACACCGCCCGUCGUUUCUUCCGACUGGUACUCAUUGUGAAUUGCGAGGAGAUUCUGUCAAAUCGUUGUAAAUGCUGGGUAUUGGAGGAAGAAAAAGUCGUAACA
RNAcentral lists this ribosomal RNA (294 nucleotides) under uncultured eukaryote. RNAcentral describes it as "partial 18S ribosomal RNA". It matches the Rfam family "Eukaryotic small subunit ribosomal RNA", at positions 1470 to 1796 of the family's 1831-position model. The record is from RNAcentral.